GUUGUUUAAUUAAAUUCCACUUUUUGCAAUUUAAUAACCACACUAGGCUAUAGUGCCAUUUUGAUUUUUUUUUUUUUCCCCGAUUCUUUUCUGUAGCCCUACUAGAAAACUUGCUGUAAGACAGAAUCAUUUACUCAAGAGUACAACCUUUUGUGUCUAAACCUCUUCAGCAGUAGCUGAGUUAAUUUAAAGUCAAAGACCAGUUGUACUUAACCUUUAAGCACGUAAAUGAAACUGUUUGGGGGUUGAUGCUCAGUUUAGAUGAAGAGAACAGGAAGCCAGAGAUAAGUCCUGGCAGGCGUUCACAUUGACCUUGUUUGAGCAGGCGGCUGUAAUUAAGACGCUAGCUGGAAACCUGACUCCAGUGUGACGCAGCCUGAGGCUGGCUGCAGAAGUGGAGGUCGGAAAAAGAAAUGCGAUUCUCGUCGGCUCAGUGGCUGCACUCGAUAGUGCUGCCAAGGCCGAGGUUAGCCCACUAAUUCGUCCAAAUGAGCGCCCUUAUUCAUGGUAUCUUUAUACAUGCAGACACACUCACAUAAACACACAUACCAAUGUUCCCGCAGACCAGAGAGAAGUGGAGAGUUAUGAGGGCUUUGGUUUUCCUGGGACAGAGGAGAGCUGAGUAUGAUGUCGGCCAUUGAUCUGUUGUGAGUUCCUGUGGCGGAAUAUUAAAGACAGAGUGUAUUGGAAAACCAGAUGCUACGUGGCCUUACAUAACGAUCCCUUCCAUGAACAAGAAGCCAUUUGUCAAGAUCCCAUUUAAUGCAGCUCAGAAGCAGCUCAUAUGUCGGGAGAAAAUGACGACUGCUAUGUUCAUUAUUACAUCCAACAACAAAACACCUCAGUUGCUUAAUUUGGGACAUUCUUUUCUUCCCCUGCACCGGAGUCGACACAAUGGUGGACAGCUCAUAGCUCACUCAGGGCGGGUCUAAGGUAAGUCGGCCUUGUCAAUCAUGUGAGCGGCCUGUGCAGAACUACAUAAUUCUGAGAGGAAUCUCAGAACAGCCUUAUUUGAGAAAGGGGAUUUUAAAAAACUGGGUGGAUUUUUAUGAUUAUAGGAUGGAUGUGUACACACACUUCCAACACACAUUUAUGUUCAAACAACACAUAAAGUGAGUUUUGCAUCCGAUGACCCCUUUAACUAAAAUAUGUAAAUGAUGAUCAUAUGCCAGUCACCCUGAAUGAUAUAUGCAUUAGCUCAAUAAUACACCCAGGGUGAACUUUUUGCAUGUUUGACACAGACAAUCUUUAAAAAAAAAAAAAAAAACAGGUUGACACCUAAUCUAUGUCACCCCUGUUACCCAAAUGUCAAAACCUGUUAUAGUAACAGGGCCGACAGUAACAGGUUUGACAAUUUCAAAUGAAUUAGCUAAUGUAAUGUAAUAAAUAAUUGUUUAAAUUUACAUUUUAAAAAUGGUAACAGUAUUGACAUUGUAUGACGUCCCCCCUCAGACAAUCCUCAUAAAUAAUAAAAAAUAGAAUAUUAAAGAGGAGUGAGAGAAACAUGCUUGUGUUUUAAGUGUUGGAAUCUUGGUUGAGAGAUGGUGUUACUUCUUAAAAGUGACGUCACUGAAUGUACCAUUACUUUAAAAGGUUGUUGUUGUUUUUAAUGAGGAUAACAGGGCUGACAUAAAAUCAGGGAACACCAAUAAAAUGAUUUAUAUUUUAUAGGAAAAAAGUGUAUAUUUAUGCCAAAAACAUUGCUUAACAAAUAUACUGUAUUUAUAACAAUAUGCAAACGUUAUUUUUGUAUAAUUUUGCCUUUAUUUUCCAAAUUAAAAGUCUUGCUGAAAAAUUAAAAUCAUAGUGAGCGAUUCACUUGCAUGCAUUGUGGUAUGUUGUGAACACACAUCGGAGACUAACAUAGAAGAGAAUAAAUUGUUGAAUAAAGUUCCUUGCACACAAAAAGUUUUUCGUAGCUUUAUAAAAUUAAGAUUGAAGCACUGAUAUAUAUAUGACUGGAUCGCUCAUCGCAUUCUAAACUGCCAAAAGGCAGUGAAGCCACCGGAAGUGUUCGAUCCGCCAUCUUACUAAUCCCUACCGACAGAGAGCACCAUUGAGUCACAUUCAAACCGCUGUCCUAAAAUCACCCGAUUUGAAGCAAAUCAGUAAAACAGGACUAGUUUUUAUGUUAUGUGUAUGUAAAUUAAUGUUUACUUCAGAUGUUAUCUGCAGUGUUUACGGUCUUUUGGGGUAGGAUAAGCGAUAUAUUUAAACCGUUUAGGUGGGUGUGUCUGCUGCGCACUGAUGACACAGGUAAUGAUCCAACACAAAAUAUAGCCUAUUUCUUUAUGAACAUAAUUAUUCAGGAAUUAUUAAACAUGAACGUAUUAGUAUCAGAAAUGGAUUUGAAUAUAUUACAAUGAAUAAUACAAUUAUGUUGUUAAUGUUGCUCUAUAAUGAAAUGAAAAGCUUAACUUACUAUCUUGGAAAUAAAGCUUUAUAUCUUUAAAUCCGUACUGUAUAUAGUCAGUUAUUUCUCUGAAUAAAUUCAGAUUUCAGAAUGAGCACUUUGUCGUUUGUUUUAUAUGUUGAGGUCAUGUCCGUCUGAUGUUUAUCAUGUUCAUGAUGUUCGCUAUUGUAAUGAACGUAGGUUUUUAAUAAAUAGGGGAAAUUCCCGACAUUUAAAGAAAUAACCGUUUACAUGCCUAGGGUGUUUGCAUUGUAAUAAUGCACAGAAAUACUUAAGAUUUAUAAAUGCUGACUUUUUUGUGAUGUUUUCUCAUUAAAAUCAUACAAUUUCCUAUUAAUUAAAUAGAACGAUUAUGCACACUAGGGAUUACCAAUAUGCUCGUGGCGGCUUCAAGGCUUCAAGGUCUUAUGGGUUUGGAUGGAAUGACAUGAGGAUGAAUAAUUAAGGAAAACAAUUUUCAUUUUUGGAUGAACUAACCCUCUAAAGGGAAAAAAAAAAUAAUAAUAACAACAACAACAACAAUAAUAAUAAUAAUAAUAAUAAUAAUAAUAAUAAUAAUAAUAAUAAUAAUAAUAAUAAAAGGAGUCUUGUGUCUGGGACCAGAGACAUUCCAAAUGACAAAUGCCAUUUUUUGUGUCCUUCUCUGCAGAAAGGGAAUGAUAUUGUUAGGGUCAUUCCAAAUGAAAGUGAAUAGUACUUCCUUUAUGAAAAGCACUACCACAAGACCAUUAGCAAAAUGCACAUAAAAUGGUGACUUGAAGCAAGUCAAACAGGUCACUUUGCAUUUCACAGUAGAUACUGGGUGACAACUUUAUUUCAGUUCUACUCUGAGAGUCAAGCUGAUCAUAUUCCUUACUUCAUAUACUGUAGGUUGAGCCUUCACUGAGUCAGAUAUAAUGAUAUUCACUUUGCAAUGGAACUGGCAAUUGUGCUGAAACAUUUGACUUUCUGAUGCCACAGAACAAUGAAGACCAUGUAACAAUGCAAGAUUUCACAGGAUUCAAUGGGAUCAACCUGUAAUUUCAUCUUGGUACAUUUAUUAUUGCACAAAGGAAGCUGAGAAUGUUGGCUUGCCUGCCCCCAUGACACCCAUGCGGAGAAAGGGCAGCCAAAGAAGGGGCAUUUAGAAUCCUUUGACCCCUUUCACUGUGAGAAAAAUUCUUCAUUCACAAUCUGGUAUUUUUUUCCACAGCACUGCAGUCAGAUCAGGACCGCCAUCACUGCAACUCUUUGUCCC
Cyprinus carpio carpio is the source of this 3650-nucleotide long non-coding RNA. Lineage: Eukaryota; Metazoa; Chordata; Actinopteri; Cypriniformes; Cyprinidae. The record is from Ensembl.